GCCACUGUGGCGUAAUGGUUUGGUGCUUGACUACAUCUGUGGAGACCAGGGUUCAAAUCCCUGCUGAGUCA
Molecule: non-coding RNA, 71 nt
Organism: Phrynosoma platyrhinos (Desert horned lizard)
Lineage: Eukaryota; Metazoa; Chordata; Lepidosauria; Squamata; Phrynosomatidae
Source: the annotation of a GenBank genome assembly